GUAUUCCACAGCUUGCCAGCCACAGCAAGUAGAGUACAAGGCUGGCUGAUGAGGAAGCAUCCCAACAUGAGCUCUGUGUUCUGGGAGGAUGCAGCAUGAGGAAAUGCUUCCCAGUUCCCCUGCUGAAUUAUAGAGCCCAGGUUAUUUGCCACCAGCGUUUAAAGAUUCCUCCUGCUGGUGUGACUGUGAACAAUGUUGAGGCAGUUUCGUGAGUGCCUUGAGCAUCCUUCAAUGCUGCUGCUUUCUCUAGAGUUUGAGGUGACAUAAAAGGCCCACACAAUGUGGUUUUUCUUUCUGAACAGCAUGCUGAAUAUACAGUUGAGCUGUGUACUGGGUUGCACGCUCUUUUGCAGUUGUUACCAUCUGGUCAUUUUAUAACUUUAUUAGACCGCAGAAGGCUGACAGAAGAUGAAGGGACUUAAACCAGGGCUGUUGUGAUUACAAUGGUCAGCAUUAUAAACAGCUGUGUCACCAGUAUGUCCUUACAUUCCCACCAUUUUUCUCACCUGCUUUCCUUUUGUCAUUCUUUCAGUUUACUUUUAAUUUUGAGUUUGACUAGUGCUUUUUGUAUUCUUCUGCAUUGUUUUAUGCAGUUUUACUUGUCUCUCUUUACUUAUUGACCACCCAGAAAGGAGAGGUUGUAACUGAGAUUUAGGUGUUACUGUGAUGAGAACCUGACCCUCCACAUUUAAAUAUAUGAAUUUAGGGGAUCAUGUGGGUGCUCUUUGUGUCUGUAUGUCAUAGUAAGGAGAAAGGCAUGAGUUUGAUAGGGUGGUGUAAGGAAAACAAAUAAAUAUGAUGCACUUUA
Monopterus albus (swamp eel) is the source of this 808-nucleotide long non-coding RNA. RefSeq lists it as uncharacterized. Lineage: Eukaryota; Metazoa; Chordata; Actinopteri; Synbranchiformes; Synbranchidae. The record is from RefSeq and is a predicted model, not a curated record. The transcript has 2 exons.